RNAcentral lists this unclassified non-coding RNA (391 nucleotides) under soil metagenome. RNAcentral's name for it is "partial contains 5.8S ribosomal RNA, internal transcribed spacer 2, and large subunit ribosomal RNA". The stretch from base 1 to 122 matches the Rfam family "5.8S ribosomal RNA", at positions 35 to 154 of the family's 154-position model. The record is from RNAcentral.
GAUGAAGAACGUAGUGAAAUGCGAUACUUGGUGUGAAUUGCAGAAUCCCGUGAACCAUCGAGUCUUUGAACGCAAGUUGCGCCCGAAGCCAUUAGGCCGAGGGCACGCCUGCCUGGGUGUCACACGUCGUUGCCCCCCCAUCUACUCCUUCGGGAUUGCGGGGGGCGGAUGAUGGCCUCCCGUGCGCCUCGUCGCGCGGUUGGCAUAAAUGCCAAGUCCUCGGCGACGCACGCCACGACAAUCGGUGGUUAUGAAACCUCGGUUGCCCGUCGUGUGCGGUCGUCGCGCAUCGAGGGCUCGAAAAAAUUGCCGGGCUCCGGCUCGGCUUUCAACGCGACCCCAGGUCAGGCGGGGUUACCCGCUGAAUUUAAGCAUAUCAAUAAGCGGAGGA